Molecule: long non-coding RNA, 1997 nt
Organism: Solanum lycopersicum (tomato)
Lineage: Eukaryota; Viridiplantae; Streptophyta; Magnoliopsida; Solanales; Solanaceae
Source: RefSeq, a predicted model, not a curated record
GAGUUGUCAGGUGUUACAUGAGUUCCUACACUAUUUUUCUAUGCAGGUUAUAGAAAACUGAUAAUUCACUUGAUUAUUGCAAUUAAAAUGUGAUAUUAAUUUUCUACAAUGUGUAUCUGAAUUAUAUAUUGAAGCGUUGGUGUUAUAUAACAGUACUCACAUCGAAAAUUUCUCUCUUUGUUAUAUAAUUUAAUUUAAUUUUUAUAUUUUUAGAUAAAUUUGAUAGAACUUAAGGACCCUUUAUAAAAAAAUUUAUGAAAAAAAUGGAUAAAGAAGACCAAAUGAAAUAAACAAAAAGCAAAAAAAAAAAAACAGUAUCCAGGCCCAGUUCAUUAAGAGAAUUGGCUAGGGCUUUAUAAAUUUUUCUUACAAAGAAUUGCUUCUUUCUUAUCCUCCUAUUGUCUUCGCAUACUUUCUACAUUCCUUGUCUCCUCGUCCAUCUCCACAAAUUAACAUUGCCCUGGUUUUCCAUUUCUUUAGGUUGUGGGUGAAUCACACCUACCUCCGAUAUCUUCUAUUCUUUCUCCGUUCACAGAAAGGUAUCUUUCAGUGGAUGUAGUGGUUUCGAAGAUAAUUUUGAAAGAGGUACCAUGUCAUGAGGGUUAUUGAAGACAUCCUUUAUUCUGAGCCGGGAAGAGGUAGUUAUGGUGGUCUUCGUUGCUAGCAGAGUACUCGAAUUUUUGAGGUCCAGUCCUUGAAGGGAUUUUGAAGAAGACUCGAAGAAGACUUCGAUUACUUAAUCAUCCAAGUAAGGAAAUGAAUACUCGAAGUAAUGCGGCACGAAGACUAGAUGCAGAGAUUUCCAAUGUGGGAGAUCCUCCCUGUGGUGAUCAAGUCCCUCCUCUUGACGAAGAUAUGAAUGAUGACCAAGCUUUGGUAGAUCCUCGUUUGACGGAUGGUUCCAUCCGGGCUAAUCUUUUCCAAAUGUCCCAAGCCAUUACUACCCAAUCAUAAGUCGCCACUACUAAAGCUAAAUAUGUUGGCCCAAGCUAAUCGGGAGGUAGUACCCUGAGCAAACCAACAAGUUGCUGCCCUAGCCUCCCAACUAAGGGUCUUCAAUAGGAUGAAUUCCCCUACUUUCUGUUGGUUCAAGGUUGAAGAAUACCCCCAAGAGUUCAUUGACGAAAUCUAUAAGAUCCUCAUGCUACGGGUCUAGUUACUAGUGAGAAGGCUGAGUUAGCCACUUCUAGCUCAAAGAUCUGACCCAAACUUGGUAUGUCCAAUGGAGGGAUAAUAGGUUGUUAAGGGGUGGACCGGUGACUUGGGAAGUGUUCAAGAAGGCUUUUCUUGAUAGAUUCUUUCCCAUGGAGAAGAGUUAAGCUAAUGUGGUGGAGUUUAUCAACCUUCGUCAAAGAGGUAUGAAUGAGAUUGAAUACUCCUUGAAAUUCACAAAAUUGUGAAAAUAUGCUCCUUAUUUGGUUUCCGACCAUAGAGAUGAAAUGAACCGCUUUGUGACGGGAGUGUCAGAAGACUUGCAAGAUUAUUGUCAUUCGGCUAUGUUACAUGACACUAUGAACAUUUCUCUUCUCAUGGUUCAUUUUCAACAAGUGGAGGAGGAAAGGGCUAAGAAGAAGAGUAGGGAUGCCAAGAGGGUGAGAUCUUUUAAAUGUGAUUCUUCAAAGGGAAGGCUUGAGAUUCAAUACAAUCCUAGGUUUAAGAAGAGGGUUUCAAAUCAAGUUCCCUAAGGUUAGGGAUGAUAAGGUAUCAAACCCUUAGACUAAAAAUGGAAGAGAUAAUAGUUCACUGAACAAGAAGCCUACUUGUGCAAAGUGUGGAAAGGGUCAUCUUCGUAAAUGCGUAGUUCGAAUGGGAAUUUGAUUUGGUUGUGGCAAGAGUGUCCACAUGGUUAGGGUUUACCCUAAUGUGAAGGUUUAAGAAAAGGGUAGUGGUCAAGCUCAACCAAGUGGUUCGAAUGAAGCUCCAAAGAAAAAUUAUUUUUAUGCUCUACGCUCUAAGGGUGAGCAAGAGACUUCUCCCAACGUGGUGACAUGAAAGUC